Molecule: ribosomal RNA, 392 nt
Filed under: uncultured bacterium
Lineage: Bacteria
Description: partial 16S ribosomal RNA
Rfam family: Bacterial small subunit ribosomal RNA
Source: RNAcentral
AUACGGAGGAUCCGAGCGUUAUCCGGAUUUAUUGGGUUUAAAGGGUGCGCAGGCGGCCAUUUAAGUCAGCGGUUAAAUCGUGGGGCUCAACCCCAUUCUGCCGUUGAUACUGGGUGGCUUGAUUGCGGUCGAGGUUGGCGGAAUUCGUUGUGUAGCGGUGAAAUGCAUAGAUAUGACGAAGAACACCGAUUGCGUAGGCAGCUGGCCAGAACGCAAAUGACGCUCAUGCACGAAAGUGCGGGGAUCGAACAGGAUUAGAUACCCUGGUAGUCCGCACAGUGAACGAUGAAUACUUGUUUUCGGCUAUAUAAUGUCGGAGGCAAAGCGAAAGCGAUAAGUAUUCCGCCUGGGGAGUACGCCGGCAACGGUGAAACUCAAAUGAAUUGACGGGG